Molecule: ribosomal RNA, 463 nt
Filed under: uncultured bacterium
Lineage: Bacteria
Description: partial 16S ribosomal RNA
Rfam family: Bacterial small subunit ribosomal RNA
Source: RNAcentral
GACGAACGCUGGCGGCGUGCUUAACACAUGCAAGUCGAACGGUGAACCUCUUCGGAGGGGCUCAGUGGCGAACGGGUGAGUAACACGUGGGCAACCUGCCCCCGGCUCUGUGAUAACUCCAAGAAAUUGUGGCUAAUACCAGAUGUUCACCGCUUCCCGCAUGGGUGUUGGUGGAAAGGGUUUGCGGCUGGGGAUGGGCCCGCGGCCUAUCAGCUUGUUGGUGGGGUAGUGGCCUACCAAGGCGACGACGGGUAGCCGGCCUGAGAGGUUGGCCGGCGACAAGGGUCCUGCGGCACGGCGCAGAGGGGUAUGGGAGGCAGUAGGGGGGAGUCUUGUGCAGUGGGAGGGAGCGUGUCGCGGAGGCGUCCGGGUUGGGAUGACGGCUUGCGGGUUGAGAAAAGCUUCCAGCAGGGACGAAGCGCAAGUGACGGUACCUGAAGAAGAAGCACCGGCUAACUACGUG